RNAcentral lists this ribosomal RNA (253 nucleotides) under uncultured bacterium. Its description in RNAcentral is "partial 16S ribosomal RNA". It matches the Rfam family "Bacterial small subunit ribosomal RNA", at positions 524 to 776 of the family's 1533-position model. The record is from RNAcentral.
UACGUAGGGGGCGAGCGUUGUCCGAAGUUACUGGGCGUAAAGAGCGCGUAGGCGGGUCUUUAAGUGAGUGGUGAAAGGUUCGGGCUUAACCCGGACACUGCCUUUCAUACUGGGGACCUUGAGUGCGGGAGAGGCGAGUGGAAUGGUCGGUGUAGCGGUGAAAUGCGUAGAUAUCGGUCGGAACACCCAUGGCGAAGGCAGCUCGCUGGCCUGCAACUGACGCUGAGGCGCGAAAGCGUGGGGAGCAAACAGG